This 396-nucleotide ribosomal RNA is filed under the name uncultured bacterium. RNAcentral's name for it is "partial 16S ribosomal RNA". It matches the Rfam family "Bacterial small subunit ribosomal RNA", at positions 523 to 918 of the family's 1533-position model. The record is from RNAcentral.
AUACGAAGGGGGCGAGCGUUGUUCGGAUUUACUGGGCGUAAAGGGCGCGCAGGCGGCCAUUCAAGUCAGGCGUGAAAGCCCCGGGCUUAACCUGGGAGGUGCGUCUGGGACUGGGUGGCUAGAGAUCGGGAGAGGAGAGUGGAAUUCCCAGUGUAGAGGUGAAAUUCGUAGAUAUUGGGAAGAACACCGGUGGCGAAGGCGGCUCUCUGGACCGAUACUGACGCUGAGGCGCGAAAGCGUGGGGAGCAAACAGGAUUAGAUACCCUGGUAGUCCACGCUGUAAACGAUGUGUGCUAGACGUUGGGGAGCCUAGCUCUUCGGUGUCGCAGCUAACGCGGUAAGCACACCGCCUGGGGAGUACGGCCGCAAGGUUAAAACUCAAAUGAAUUGGCGGGG